AUGGUUGAUGUGGUGGUUUUAAUUCACAUAUCGCUCUUCACUUAACUAACCGAACAAUUAUAUUACGAACUCUAACGUACUACCUUGCCUUAGAAACGACGCCCCCAAUACAUAUUGGUAAAUCCUUUAGUAAAGUGAAUGAACGAUCGAUUGCUUCUAAUGAGCAAGUCUUUGUUUUUAAGACCUAUUAUUUGAAGGAUACUUUUGUCGAAUGGGUACAUCUAGGGUCAUAUGUAAUUCAUAGAAUAUAUAGAUAAAUCAUAAUUUUGUCCUCAACUUUACUAUUAACUAUGUGGGGAAUUGUGGAGAAACACUAAUGUUACAUUUACUGUCUAAACUGUAAGCGAGAAUACUACCUAUCUGAAUAUUGUAAUAUAAAAACAUAGAAACAUUACUAAAUUUUUAAAAAUUUGAUCUGUACCACUUGUUUGAUUUUAUACUUUUUUUUCAAUUUAUUCUACGGGUAAUGCUGUUUUAGGAGUGCGAACUUAAGUAAUUGUAAUUGGGAGUUUUACCAUAGUUCAAAGAUUUGUGACACUUUUUAUUAUUCAGUGCUAAAGACUUGAGUGGUCUUAUUAGGCGAAUAUACAGAAAGAAUUUUAUUUUCUCUCCAUAAACUGCUAACUUCAAUCUGGAAGAUUUGCUAAUAUACCAAAGAUUAAAGCUUAUGUUAAUAGACUAUGUCGCGACUCUAAAAAGCCAAAACCAUAUAAAUUGAAAAUACUACGACAUCUUGCUCGUGCUGAUAAAUUGUUUUAAAACAUUUUUUGCACUUGCAUUGUAGUGUAAAUAGGACAUGAUUCUCAAAAUCAUAGACUAAAGAAAACCGCUUUGUUGAAUGUUCUUCUUCAGCAUACACAUA
Non-coding RNA from Schizosaccharomyces pombe (fission yeast), 862 nucleotides. Lineage: Eukaryota; Fungi; Ascomycota; Schizosaccharomycetes; Schizosaccharomycetales; Schizosaccharomycetaceae. The record is from the annotation of a GenBank genome assembly.